This 2979-nucleotide long non-coding RNA is filed under the name Homo sapiens (human). Its description in RNAcentral is "non-protein coding lnc-RSBN1-1:1". Lineage: Eukaryota; Metazoa; Chordata; Mammalia; Primates; Hominidae. The record is from RNAcentral.
UAACAUGAUUCACAUUAUACUUUCUCUUAGUUAAUAAUACAGUAGGCCUUUUGUUUAUUAAUGGAAGAGUACUCCCCACACCUAAGACCAGAUUCUUAUAUCUCCCUGGUUACAGUGCAAUUUGGAGAUUUUUUUUUUUUCCUGGAUGGUAAGAUUUGAAAUAUUUACAUUAACAUAGGCAAAAAAAAAAAAAAAUACAAGAUGCUGCUUUAUUAUGUCUGUCACCAUGAAAACUUAGCUGCAUCUUUUGAAAUAUCAAAUAUGAAUUUUCUCUAAAAUAUUCUGAAAUAGGUUAAAUCUUAUAUAAAUAUUACUUUGUGCAAUAUUGUUGUGUAGUUAAAUGCAUAUUAGCAAAGUAUAGAGGUCACUGUGUAAACCGAUAGAAAAGUAACCAUCAGCAAAUACUGCAGUGAUUAGUUAGAAUCUGUAUUAUUCCUUAUAUAUAUGUAUAUGUAUGUAUUCUCUGUUACAAAGGAUGAAGACAAAUAGGGAUACAUUUCAAUGUAAACCAUUUAUGAAUUGGAAGUGAUGUUGGCUUUAGUUAUCUUUGUAAAUAAGGUAAUUAGAAUGGUAUGAAAGGUAAUGUGAUUAUUGCAGGGGUGUUUUUAAAUCUUGGGUAUAAAUUCUAGGGUAAAUUCCAGUUUAUCCAGACUAGUUUUUAACGGGACCUGCCUUUGAGGGUGUUUUUUGUUAUUUUGUUGGGGAGGGGUUUAAUCACAAAGUGUGUGGGUUUGGGUUAUUUCUUGUUUUUAUUUUUCUGUCCAGAAGAGCUUUACCAGGCUGUGCAAAGUAAAAUUCUUCUCAGGCAACAUUUGCUUUUAAAAAUAAUCAUGAAGAGAAGGCUGUUAAAGCAAAAAUUUUUUUUUUUUAAUUUUUUCUUGUCUUCCAAGAUCCGAUUUCCCCAUCUCCCACUUGCCAUCCAGCAGAUGCCAUCUGUCAUCCAAGCUGGUCAUUGCUAAUAAACAAGGAGACUGUCUCCUGACAGCCAGCACUGUGUAUUAUCACUCAGGAACCAGCGGAUCUGCAAAGACCUACAAUCAAAAGCAAAUCCCCAUUUUCCUUUUAUAAAACAUUCUACCCUCACCUCCAAUAUAAACACAUUAAAAGAGUACAAUAAAAAUGUUUAAAAUCAUGUACUAAUAAAUUCAUUGUAUGUUAGAAUUGCAAUAGAAUGAAGAGAAACAUUUAGCUAGUAACGUGAUCUGAAAACUGAAUGUCCUAUGUGAGUAUUAGAUUUUAAUAGCAUGCUUUAAAGACUGAUGAGUAUAAAAGCAGAAGUUUUGCGUUUUUUACUGCUUUCAAAGCUGUAUCCUAGUUUAGUGAUACAAAUGAUUGCAAUUUUUCUAAAUCAUUAAAUUAUUUGGUUUGGUGGAGUGAGGCAUGGAGCAAUCUGGCGUCUUCUGAUUUGUUAAAGUAGUGAUGGCAGUGAAGUUGUAACUGAAAUUUAAGCUGAUCUUCCUUUUUGGUAUAUUAUCCGUUGUGCCAGCUCUUGAGAUUACUUGCACAAUGUGGCUAUAAGUUUUAAUAUUUUGUGGAGCAGAGGGAUGGUUUUUAAAUGUGCUUAUGGAAAGGACCCAAUAAAUGAAUAUUCCUAACUUAGUAAAGUAGAAUAAUUUCAUGGUAUUCAUUAAAAAGCAUAAAAGUCUUCCUCUUGCCCCAGAAGUAAUUCUCUAUACCAAGAUAUGCUAGGAGUAGGAUGAUGAUUCAAAGUGGUAACCCAAAUUCAUAAAGCAAUAAUAAUAAAAACCUAUAUAGUAUGUUCUCUCCUCCAAAGUUUUAACUCUAAAAAUUGGUUCCUAGGUUUAAUUGUACCUUUAAUUUGCUUAUUCAGUACUUAGAAUUUGUUUAACUGGUACUUUUAUUAUUUUUUAGUGAAAGACUUUUGAAAAGUGCCCUUUCCCCUUAAGAGACAGUUGGAAUACCAGUUGACUAAUAUUACAAGCUCUUGUAGGGGGAAAAAGGAGCUUAUUAAAGUUGUUUACUAAACUUUAGGAAAAGAUGUCUUGCAUCAGUCUUACUAGGCAUAAAAGUCACACUUAAUGACUGGAAAAAACUUGCUUAUUGCCUUUCCCUAUAUAAAUAUUAAUUGUCUAGAAUGAAAGCUAAUAUAGGAACAAGACUCCCAAAUCCAUGAAAACGCUUAGUGAAUAUAUUCUUAAUCAUUAAUAAAUUAGCCCAUUAUAUUUUCAUCUGUAUUUGCCAUAAAAAAUUUAUUUGCAUUUAUGCCUUUAGGAUAAUUUUGUAUCUUUCUAAUCUGUUUUAUCAUUGCUACAGGUUUUUAAAAAAGAACCUUUCACUAGCUAGCACAUGCCAGAGGUUCACAUCUGUUUUGUUUUUCAAACAGGUCGUAGCUGUAUUUAUUGGCCAUGCAAGUAGAGGAAAUGCACAGUACAAAUGUUUUUCUUUAGCACGUAAGGGACCUAUCCUUGUCUUGAAAGUUUGUUGCUUUAAAAGCAAGUAUCUCUCCAUAAAUAUUAUGGCCUUCCAUUUUCUUCAUACAUUUUUUAGGAUCCACUUGUGCAUGUAGUUGAGACCACUGUCUCUUAAAAUAUAGCACUUUUCAAUUCUCUCUAAAGAAAUACUUAUGUACUACUAUCACAUGUUGUAAAUUUUCAUGUAAUAGUGUUUUCUGUGAGUAAACUCCAUUUUGAUUGGCAGCUAAGACUUUUUUUCCUGUGGCUUUUAUUUAUCUAAGAGGUCUUUGCAUAUAGAUGAAAUGUAUAUUUGCCUGGCGGACUAUUUGCGUUGUGUGGCCUUAGUUUGUUUAUUGACAUUAACGAGUGUUUUAAAAAGGUUUUUAAUGAAUAGUCUUAAAUCUAAAUUUGUGUGAAUAAUCCUUUUAACACAGUGCUUUUUUGUAGCUGUCUAAGUGUGUUAAAUUGUUAAGCUAUUUCUUUGUAAAAUAGGACAAUGGAAUGCAUAGUUUUUUUUUUUCCUGUAAAGUAUUUUUUUAAUAAAAAAAGUCUGAUUUGUCCUUUA